Molecule: long non-coding RNA, 3735 nt
Filed under: Homo sapiens (human)
Lineage: Eukaryota; Metazoa; Chordata; Mammalia; Primates; Hominidae
Description: TMEM254 antisense RNA 1, transcript variant 5 (TMEM254-AS1)
Source: RNAcentral
ACGCCUCACCGCGAAGUAGCCCAGCCCCAGGACUGUGACCAGAGAGGGCAAGGGUCUUGCUGGACGGAAAUAGGCGGUAGCCGCAUUGCUGGCCUCCGACUUCACCAUCCUCUUGAAAAACCCAGACACAGAGUUGGCUGGGAGCUCCCCAGCCGUCCCCGCCCCCAUAUAAGAAAAGCCUGGCUAGCCGGUUUCUCAGGGCCCUGGGCGCCCGCCCAAGACCCUGGCGGACCAGUAUGCUUGCUCUCAUUGCGGAGUCUGGUCCCCUCCCCUCCGCUCCUAGCGCGCGGGAGUCGGGAUUGUGCUUGCACGACUUCCCCCGGCCCGCGGCCUGUGAGCCCAGGUCCUGGGGUGAACCGAGCGCUCGCUCGUUCGUCAGACCGUAGCGCUCCAGCGGCUGUCCUUACUGUGUAGUAGCCAAAGCUGAGGGUGAUGACUGUGAACCAGAACAGACUGCCUCGCUGAAAAGUCACUUGGAACUCUUCUGUGGCAUCUGAAGCAGAUGGACGAAGCCAAGAGGGCCGAGAGUAUCUCAGCACCUAGAAAUGGACAAGGCUGGUUAUUAGAACAAAGAUUUCGCAGGUGGAUCUCCCAUUAACCAGUCAUAAUGAAGUAAGAACAAGAAGAUGGGGAAGAGGAAGUGUAAAACCGUGGCUUAAAUUUGCCAAGGAUAAGCUGAGUGUACUUCAGCAGUCAUUUGCACAGAAUCCUUAUCCUAAUUUUACAACCAGGGAAAAACUGGCUGGACAGUCUCUUGUCCUGUGUUUGUAAUUGAUAACUGGUUUCAAAAUAAAAGCCAGACCACCACUUAGAGAGAGACACAGAAUGUUCACUGCCAGGGAACUGCAUGAUUCCUCUGCCAAAGGCCACCCAUUUACAAGAAUCCAGGAAAACCAGGUGGAAUCUCCCAAUGAUGACCCUGAGCAGAACUUCUUGUACCCAGGAAGUUCUACUGGGUGGAGCUGGCCACUCUUCCGUGGAGACACAGGGGACUCCCAAUUAACAUGAUGGCUCAAAUAACUGUAGCCUUAUGGAUUAAAAGGAAACUAAGCUGUGAUUUGGAGUAUCCAGGUGAUACAGAAAAUGGCCCUUGUCGAUGUAGAUCAGCAUUAUUUCCUUAUCCUUCUGCAUCUCCUCCUCAGUAUUCUGAAAGGGACAAGCCUGAGAUGGGGGAAAGCCAGCAUGCAAGGCCCUCCCCUUUGUGCUGUGUUCAUGGUGUGCACGGAGAGAGGCAGCAGCAGGAGGAACAGAAAGGUUAUUUUCUUUACUGACUCUUUCAAGGACAUCAGCAGAAUGGUUGGGAAUGUCAUCAUGAGCAGCCUCAGCCUCAGAAUUACCAGGAGAAGCUGGUCUUCCAGGAUCAGGUUCUAAUGUAUAUGAGUCACAGGAUUUAGGGAAGCAGGCACUUUCCCUUCAGUCCCAGCAGCAUGGUUGAUGUUCCCAAGUAAUGGAGAGUCCCUGUGCUCUCAGUUGUGGCACACACCUUUGCAAAUAGUGAUCAGAUCUCCACAAACGCCUCUUGGGUAAGAUAUGCAGCAACAUAGCUGGCUGCAGAGCAACCCAGUUCCCAAAUCCAGCAGCUCUUGGAUGAGAAGUCUGCAAGUGUUUACUGCUGGGACCAGGACUGUGUUUCUAGGAAAUGGUGCUAGGCUUCAGAGAGCAUCAUCCACAGGUCAUCCCACAACCAUCCACACAGAAGCCUGAGGAAAAGGGCUCUGCAGAGCUUGCACAUAAAGAUGCUGAACUCAGGAAGGCUCUGUGAGCUGCUGGUCUCUUCUGGUAGGGCAGCAGUGUCCUGAGAAGGUGGAGCUAGAGUAUGGAGAACAAAACUAACAAGCACCAAGGCAGCAAGCAAGGCAACCCCCAAAUGACAGCAGUUGCCAAAUCCAAAGCAAUCUGUGCUUCAGAAGACAGAGGCUCUGCACAGUCCCUGUCUCAGACAUUGUCUCCUCCUUAGAAGAUACCUAACAACAGCACUGUGGGAGGCUGAGGUGGGUGGAUCACCAGGUCAGGAGAUCAAGACCAUCCUUGAUCUUUAGUAGAGACGGUGAAACACUGUCUCUACUAAAAAAUACAAAAAAAAAUUAGCUAGCCGUGGCGGCGGGCACCUGUAGUCUCAACUAUUUGGGAGGCUGAGGCAGGAGAAUGGCCUGAACCCGGGAGGCAGAGCUUGCAGUGAGCUGAGAUUGCGCCACUGCACUCCAGCCUGGGCAACAGAGUGAGACUCCAUCUCAAAAAAAAAAAAAAAAAAAAAAAAAAAAGAUACCUAACAAGCAGUACAAGAAUAUGAAGGACCCCACUGCCCAGACUUUGUAUGGAGGGGUGUCUAAGGUGGCUACAGCAAAGCUGUCAUCUCCAUCGACCGGGACAGCAUCUCCAGCCAUGAUGUGUGGCCUGCUGGAACAGCAGCCAUGUGUCCUUUCACAGACAGCCCACCAAAGCUCUGACUGUGAAGGACAUCCCAACAUCAGCCUAGCCUGCAUACACUUAAGGCAUAGAAUCACCUGAGGCUUCUCCGUUGAAGACAGGGACUCCCGAUGGAGUUGCAGCCCCAGCUUUGCACUGUAAAGAGCCCCAGGGGGCUUCUGUGCUAGAGCAGGUGUGCAGACCCCUCCUCACCCCCUUCACUGAGAGCUGCUGCCUGGAACCAGUGUUUUGACUGAGUCACCUCUGGACGUGGGCCCACAAGAUCUGAGAGUGCCCAGACGAGAAGUUGAAUGCCUUGUGUUGACCUGAGUGUUUGGAAAAAAGCCCCAAACUUUGAAACAAUUUUCAUAAUUUUGAGCUUCAGGAUGUGGAAUCACUUCUCAAGUAUUCUGGAGUUCUGUCCAUCAGAGCGGGUCCUGCCAAUGCUGCCCUGUGCAGCGCUUCAGGCUGCAUCCCUCCCACUAGGGGGCGCCUUUCACAUAGUGGCGCCUGCCUUCUAGAGGAGCAACAUUUCCUGAACUGCAGGGUUCCCUCGGGGCUUUGUGUAAAACACAUCCACUGCAUAGAAUUUGUGUUAUUUCCAUUUUGUUUUCUUGACAAUAUUUAAUUAAUUACAAAAUGAUGUAUGUUAUGAUAGUUUAAGCAAUACAGAGAGUAACCAAACAAAAGCUUGGUCUUUUAUUCUCGCACUCUGAAUUUACAGUCCUGAAAACUCUAAACUCAUCAUAUAAUCUAUAUUGUAAAGACUUUGAUAAUCCCUUCCCUUGCCUUUCCUUUCCCCAUUCCCCCUUCCCCUUCCUUCUUCUACAUUGUAUGAUGUUUUUCAUAUUUACAUUCUAACCAAUUGUGUCAUGUGAUACUAAUUUGCAGAAUAAAGCAUGUUUUGCACAUAUUUCCAAGUCAUAUAACAUGCAGACAUACUUCAUUUUGUAAAUAUCUUCCUUCUCUUACUAUAAGAUUGAGAAUAGGUAAAGAGCAACUCUCCAAUGCAGGUGAUGAGUGUGAUUUGCACUAUCACUUUGGACAGCCAAUUGGAAUAUUUAUUGAAGUCAUAGAUGCCCAGCAAUUCUGUUACUGGAUGUGUCUCAUAGACAAACUCUUGGACAUUCUUAUAGAACACUGAGCCCAAAGAAGACACAUCAUAUAAUGUAAGAAGCUAGGACAGCUUAAAAAAAAAAGGCCUAGAUCUGUGUAAUUGUGUGAGUGUUCUCGGACAUACUGUUUGUAAAAAAUCGAGUUAUUGAGUAGUUUGAUAAUAUGAUAAUCAUGAAAAUAAAGGAUAAAGCAGCGAGUAAAAAAAAAAAAAAA